RNA transcript from Anas platyrhynchos (mallard), 4860 nucleotides. It is a transcript of the gene named Rho guanine nucleotide exchange factor 3, with no coding region annotated. Lineage: Eukaryota; Metazoa; Chordata; Aves; Anseriformes; Anatidae. The record is from RefSeq and is a predicted model, not a curated record.
CCGAGGGGGCGGUGGAUGCCGCACUCCCAAACCCGGCCCAGCAGCGCCCCUUGCUCGCUCGGGCCUGCCCCAGAGCCCGGCCCGGCAGGCGGCAGAGGACUGAGGGGGGCGAAACCCCGGGCCGAGGCGGCUGCUGAGGCGGCCACCGCGGGGAGGAGCGGAAGGGAGGGGCGCACAAACGAGAAGCGGCUGGGCUGGGGGGAAGGCGGGGAGCCGAGCCGAGCCCUGGGGGGCUUCGGCGUCUCUUCCCUGACAGCCGCCGGCGCCUUGCAGCUGGGGCUGCCACCGGGUCAAGCAACUCCGGGAGACGAGGAGGAGCCCAAGGGUGCCCGAAAAAAGAUGAAUUCUGAAAGCUCAGCACUUACCAUGAAUAGUCCUGCAAUAAUAAACCAAUGUGCCAGGGGAGGAAUGGAAGAAGAAAAAGUUUGGCCAAAACAACAGCAACAGAACAAUAUUUCCUUGUUUCCUUCAACUAAGAGCUGGAAUUUCAGAGGGAAGAAACGAAAACAGAGUACUCAGGAUGAAGAUACAAUCAGUAUUUGUAGCCUGGAUACAAGUGAGCCUAGUAACAAGCGGGUCAAGCCCCUUUCCAGAGUUACAUCACUAGCAAGUCUCAUCCCUCCUGUAAGGGCCACUCCAUUGAAGCGGUUCAGCCAGACACUUCAGCGUUCUAUAAGUUUCCGUAGUGACAGUCGCCCAGAUCUGUUCAGUCCACGGCCAUGGUCUCGAAGUAUGCCGCCUGCUAACACAAAGCGGAGAGACAGCAAACUGUGGAGUGAGACCUUUGAUGUUUGUGUCAAUCACAUGCUUACAUCUAAAGAAAUCAAGCGUCAAGAGGCUAUCUUUGAACUCACACAGGGAGAGGAAGACUUGAUAGAAGAUCUGAAGUUAGCCAAAAAGGCUUAUCAUGAUCCAAUGCUUAAGCUUUCUAUAAUGACAGAGCAAGAGCUGAACCAAAUUUUUGGAACACUGGACUCUCUAAUUCCUCUACAUGAAGAUCUUCUUAGGCGGCUUCAAGAAGUCAGGAAAUCCGAUGGAUCAACAGAACACGUUGGCCAUAUCCUUGUGGAUUGGCUCCCAUGCCUAAACUCCUAUGAUAGCUACUGCAGCAAUCAAGUAGCAGCCAAAGCCUUACUGGAUCACAAGAAACAAGAUCACAGAGUGCAAGAUUUCCUGCAGCGCUGCUUAGAGUCUCCUUUUAGUCGCAAGCUGGACCUUUGGCAUUUCCUUGACAUCCCAAGAAGCCGUUUGGUUAAAUACCCAUUACUGCUCAGAGAGAUUUUGAGACACACACCAAAUGAUCAUCCAGAUCAACAGCACCUUGAAGAAGCUAUAAACAUAAUUCAGGGUAUAGUGGCUGACAUUAACAUAAAGACUGGUGAAUCUGAAUGCCAAUACUACAAAGAAAGACUUAUUUAUCUUGAAGAAGGCCAAAGGGAUUCACUGAUUGAUAAUUCACGUGUUCUAUGUUGUCAUGGUGAACUGAAGAACAACAAGGGAGUGAAACUGCACGUCUUCCUCUUCCAAGAAGUCAUGGUGAUUACUCGAGCUAUCACCCAUAAUGAACAGCUCUGCUACCAACUGUAUCGACAGCCAAUUCCAAUAAGGGAUCUUUUGCUAGAAGAAUUGCAAGAUGGAGAAGUGCGACUGGGUGGAUCCAUACGUGGUGCAUUUAGCAACAAUGAGAGAAUCAGAAACUUCUUUAGAGUCAGCUUCAAACAUGGAUCUCAAAGCCAGUCUCAUUCACUGCAAGCCAAUGACUCCUUCAACAAACAGCAGUGGCUUAAUUGUAUUCGGCAGGCCAAAGAAAAAGUCACGUGUGCAGGAAAAGCUGGAGAGCUGAACUCAGAAGCACAUUUUAUUUUGUCACCAAAUGGAAGCAGAGUAUCCCAGGGAGAAACCACGCUUGAGCAAAUGGACCAAUCAGACAGUGAGUCAGACUGUAGUAUGGACACAAGUGAGAUCAGCAUCGACUGUGACCGUAUGGAACAGACAAACUCUUGUGAAAAUGAAAAACAUAUAGAAACCAAUGUUUGACAAAAACUUACAGUUCACGGAACAAAACCUGUGUCUUACCUGUACAGUAUUUGCAUUCCAUACAUGGAACCAUUUGGAGAAGCACUUUUCAAAUAUUUUUUGUGACAAUGUCAAUGCAGCCCUUCUUGUAUAGUACUUGACUAAAUGUAGUACUGUAACUGCUGACUUAUGUAAGCUGGAAUCUUCUGCAACUCACACCCUGUGGUUAUAUUCCAUAAACACGAUGAAUGAAAGAGGUACUUGAUCAGUUAUUCUGAAUGUCCUGCUGUAAACAGAAUCUCUCAACUACAGUUUGUAUGUACAUUACGUAAAGAAUCUUUCAUAAUUUUUAAGUACUCUAUUUGCCCUUUAAGGGGGCAGCUGAAGAUAUGUACUUAAUAUGGGGUUUUAGGAUGGUAUUGAGAUCAUAAGUUUUCACAAAGACAUAGAAGAAGGAAAAAUAUAGCUUCUGGGACAGAAAAGAAAACAGUCUUGCAAUAGCCAUUCUGAGAUCUUGUGGUUUUAAAUCAAUAAGAAAUAAAAAGAGUGAGACGUGACUCUUUAGGGACUGAUUUUUUUAAGUGAAGCACUCUACUAAGAUUCAUCAACUGAACAUAAAAAUCUGAUGUGGUCUGCAGCACUGAAAAGAGCAAUGCAAGGAUGAAGAUGACCUGCGUCCUGGAACACAAAGUUCUGCAGCAAGACAACAGGAGCAGUUAGUUUAAAGUCUUUGAAACUCAGUACCAGGGAACCAAUUGCCAAAGUCUGGGUAAAAGAUGGGCCCAAAGCUGAGCUCCAAGGUAGAGAAAGUGUUUCUCAGAGGCAACUCCUAUUCAGUAUGACCCACCUGAACCAGGGAUGCUGCCUAAAGGAAUGCUCUAAAAUAGUUGGAACCAGAUCUCUUGAGGCUUCACAGAAAUUUUUAGUGUUUGAAAGAUCGAUAUCAGAGCUCUUUGAUGUUAAUUUAAUAGAUUGACCUUAUUUGAAAUUUGGUAUUUUACUGUGAUGCUGUCUGGCACUUAGUAGGCAGUCUUGACUCCCAGGAUCUGUAACAGAGAUGGGAAGAGAGUUUUGUGUAUAUGAAAACUUACUCCAUUUAAAUAUGGGGUUCCAGUUCUUCCAUAUUUAAUAUUACUAAUGAAUACUCAUUUUAAAAUAUUGUAAUCAGUUCUACAGGUUGAUGCUGCCACCUACUGGAAAUAAUUUUUUUAGAGCUGAUUUGAUUAUUUAUAACAUUAAAAUAAUUAAAAUUUAAAACACAUUAAAUGCAUGAAAGGAAAGCCAGUAGAUUUUCAGACUAUCACCUCAGGAUCACAAACUUGUUAGAAAAAAGCACUAGCUGGGUUUCCUGUACCAAUCCCUGACUUUAAGGACACAAGCACAGACUACUCCCCCAGAUUGUCUCCUCCUUUACUAUCAUAGGCAUGUAUUUUUCCCACGACUGGAAAAUGACACUAUGUCUCUUUCCAAAUGUAUAGAUUAGGUUUUAUCUCUAAAUUUUAUGAAGGUGCUUCUCUCUGCAUGGUCUGUGAAUGAAAUGUAAUGAUGCCAUUCUCCUACCUUUGAUCUCCUGGCAACUAAAAUUAGUCAGCAAGAAUACUGUUGCUCAGAAUUAGUACAUAACCUUUUAAAGAAGUUAGACGUGUUUUGCAUCAUGAGAGUCAUUUCUGAAAAGUAAAAUAAUUUCUAUUUAUUUAAAAUUUUUAGGUUAAAUUAGGCAAUAUUUUGCAUUUCUGAAUAUGCUUUCAUAAAAGAAUACAGAGGUCAUUUCUGGAGCAAGCACCAUGAACAUCCAUUAUAAAAAUCCUGUAUUUUAUGGCUAUUAAUCUGAUUUUAGUCUGUGUUACUAAUGUACAACAUACAAUCUAAUUUCAGAAUCAAAGGGAUCUGCAGCUGCUUUGUACUCAGGUGGGAAACCACUUGGUAUGAGCCAGGGAGUCAUGGCUGAACACUUGUCAAAUACCAGAAACCACAGAAACAAGAAAAUAGAAAGACUCUUAAGGUGACAGAAUUUAUAACUUCAGUGGGGUGUUUUCUGUAUGAUUUUCUUUGAGUUGUUUUUGAGUUUUUGAUUGUUUUUGAGUUUUAAUGUCAGUGUUCAACUGAUCUCUUCCUAUGGUAAUUUAUCACCGCAACUUUGUGAAUUGGGAUGCUUACUGCCUAUUUUAUAUCAGAGUUUAAGACUCAUAGUGGUACAGUGAUCUAGAAUUGUUACAUCAUUUGUUAAGCAGUACUUACAGUUUUGUGACAAUUUCUCAGUUAAAUUCCCAGGGUUAUGUUAAUACAUAAAAUAAUUUGUACAUCUGUAAAGAAGUAAGAAGUAUAUUUUUUAAAGCAAGUGGUAAAUAUGGGAACUUUGCAUGUUGUUGAUCAGUAAAUGAGGAAAAUUUCUUCGUACAGUUGGCUUUGCUAUGAUACACCCUUAUAAUGUUUGUAUUUUCUACUUAUUGAACAUGUAUUGAACAUUGAAAACAUAUGCUUUAGUUCAUUUUCUGGUAUCUCUUAUGAGAGAAAGCAAUAGUAAGCAUGCUUUCAGUUACAAGGUAAUUUUAGUUGGCAGUAGUUUCCUACAUUGUUGCUUUUUUGUAGUAGUUCAAUUCAAUAACUUUGACAAGAAUUAGAUCAAUAGUUGAUCCAUACAAAGUAGAUACAUUCCUGAAUUACUGGAAUACAGUAAAAUAUGUGAUUUAGACUCAAUGUUUGUUCAAAAGUCUUUGAAAUCUUACUGUCCAUAUGUUUUUUUUUUUUCACUGUCUUUGGGUAGGUCUUUGUCUGAUGUAAACAGUAUAUCAGUUGAGCUAUGGUAAUUCAAAAAAGCAGGGAAAUAAAUGUCAUAUAUGUAUA